Xenopus tropicalis (tropical clawed frog) is the source of this 937-nucleotide long non-coding RNA. RefSeq lists it as uncharacterized. The transcript is spliced from 3 exons. The record is from RefSeq and is a predicted model, not a curated record. Lineage: Eukaryota; Metazoa; Chordata; Amphibia; Anura; Pipidae.
ACUGAUUAUCCUCAUCUGUAAUUAAAGGCGUGGUCCAAGAGUAACUGCUCUGCUCUGGGAGAAAGCUUACACAGGAUAUAACAGUACAUUGUUUGGGACAAGGACUGUUUUGCUGGACAAUUGAGGAAAUGUUUUCACAAAGAAUCCAAUUCCCUGGUAGCAAGGACUGGCUACUAUCUGAUGCCCUAAAGACUUUGGAGUAAGGUGCAGCUGCUUCUGAGACAGUGUUGGGAAUCUCCAAAGAACUAAAUGGAAGAACAAAGGAAAGCUUGAAAAGGUACAAGAAACUACAAAGCGUAGAAUUGAUGGAAAGCAGUAGCACAGACAAAGAAAGAAUGAUCACAUUGUGCAGCAUCUGCUUGGAUAACAGAAAGUACCCUUAGGAUAUAAAACAUGGGGAACAUUACAAGGUGACAGAUGUAUUAAUGUAGAUGAGCACUGACAGUCCUUUUUCUCGUAUUUCUGCAUGGUAAAUAAGCGCAGCAUAAUUCCUUCUUCAAACAUUUCUUCUGCAUUCUUCCAUCUAUGAAACAUUGCAAGAAUAAAACUUUUGAUUCCAGUGGUGGACAUGCCAAAAUUAUUUUUGUAUUUUUAUCCCUAAAAAUAGAUUUCUUUAUUAGUCUCCCAGAGAGAGAACUGCACUGAUUAGAAGUGAUGAGUGAACCUGUCCCAUUUUUAAAAAAAUGUACAAAACUGCUGAAAAAUUUGCGAAAUGCAUUGAAGUCAAUAGGCGUUUUUUUUUAUAGCUACUGCACAAUUUUUUUUGUGCGUGUGACUUUUUGUUAAGUACGCAACCUUUUUUUUUUUACACACACACUCACUUUUUUUUCUCACUCCAAACACGUUAAAGUCUAUGGGUGAUUUUUCUCCUGCUAAGCAAUUUUUUUUAAUGUGUGCCACUUGUUUACGCAGAUGCUUUUUUUUCUGUAAUUUUUUU